RNAcentral lists this ribosomal RNA (468 nucleotides) under uncultured bacterium. RNAcentral's name for it is "partial 16S ribosomal RNA". It matches the Rfam family "Bacterial small subunit ribosomal RNA", at positions 29 to 507 of the family's 1533-position model. The record is from RNAcentral.
UACGAACGCUGGCGGCGUGCUUAACACAUGCAAGUCGAACGGAAAGGCCCUGCUUUUGUGGGGUGCUCGAGUGGCGAACGGGUGAGUAACACGUGAGUAACCUGCCCUUGACUUUGGGAUAACUUCAGGAAACUGGGGCUAAUACCGGAUAGGAGCUCCUGCUGCAUGGUGGGGGUUGGAAAGUUUCGGCGGUUGGGGAUGGACUCGCGGCUUAUCAGCUUGUUGGUGGGGUAGUGGCUUACCAAGGCUUUGACGGGUAGCCGGCCUGAGAGGGUGACCGGCCACAUUGGGACUGAGAUACGGCCCAGACUCCUACGGGAGGCAGCAGUGGGGAAUAUUGCACAAUGGGCGGAAGCCUGAUGCGGCAACGCCGCGUGCGGGAUGACGGCCUUCGGGUUGUAAACCGCUUUCGCCUGUGACGAAGCGUGAGUGACGGUAAUGGGUAAAGAAGCACCGGCUAACUACGUG